Molecule: ribosomal RNA, 579 nt
Filed under: Trichoderma viride
Lineage: Eukaryota; Fungi; Ascomycota; Sordariomycetes; Hypocreales; Hypocreaceae
Description: eukaryotic LSU rRNA
Rfam family: 5.8S ribosomal RNA (bases 189-342)
Source: RNAcentral
AUGGGAUUCGGAGGUAACUCCCAACCCAAUGUGAACCAUACCAAACUGUUGCCUCGGCGGGGUCACGCCCCGGGUGCGUCGCAGCCCCGGAACCAGGCGCCCGCCGGAGGGACCAACCAAACUCUUUCUGUAGUCCCCUCGCGGACGUUAUUUCUUACAGCUCUGAGCAAAAAUUCAAAAUGAAUCAAAACUUUCAACAACGGAUCUCUUGGUUCUGGCAUCGAUGAAGAACGCAGCGAAAUGCGAUAAGUAAUGUGAAUUGCAGAAUUCAGUGAAUCAUCGAAUCUUUGAACGCACAUUGCGCCCGCCAGUAUUCUGGCGGGCAUGCCUGUCCGAGCGUCAUUUCAACCCUCGAACCCCUCCGGGGGUCCGGCGUUGGGGAUCGGGAACCCCUAAGACGGGAUCCCGGCCCCGAAAUACAGUGGCGGUCUCGCCGCAGCCUCUCAUGCGCAGUAGUUUGCACAACUCGCACCGGGAGCGCGGCGCGUCCACGUCCGUAAAACACCCAACUUCUGAAAUGUUGACCUCGGAUCAGGUAGGAAUACCCGCUGAACUUAAGCAUAUCAAUAAGCGGAGGAA